GCACUUGUAGCUCACUGGAUAAAGCAUCUAUUUCUGGAGCAGAAAGUCACAGGUUCGAACCCUGUCCAGCGCG
Molecule: transfer RNA, 73 nt
Organism: Selaginella moellendorffii
Lineage: Eukaryota; Viridiplantae; Streptophyta; Lycopodiopsida; Selaginellales; Selaginellaceae
Rfam family: tRNA
About the family: Transfer RNA (tRNA) molecules are approximately 80 nucleotides in length. Their secondary structure includes four short double-helical elements and three loops (D, anti-codon, and T loops).
Source: Rfam